This 778-nucleotide ribosomal RNA is filed under the name uncultured Neocallimastigales. RNAcentral's name for it is "partial large subunit ribosomal RNA". It matches the Rfam family "Eukaryotic large subunit ribosomal RNA", at positions 20 to 614 of the family's 3401-position model. Lineage: Eukaryota; Fungi; Neocallimastigomycota; Neocallimastigomycetes; Neocallimastigales. The record is from RNAcentral.
UACUAGAGUAGCACUCGCAUAUCAAUAAGCGGAGGAAAAGAAACUAACAAGGAUUCCCCUAGUAACGGCGAGUGAAGCGGGAAGAGCUCAAAUUUGAAAUCUUAAAGGGUUUCCCUUUACGAAUUGUAGUUUAAAGAAGUGUUUUCUGUUGAGGUUUUGGUAAAAGUUCUUUGGAAUAGGACAUCAUAGAGGGUGAGAAUCCCGUAUUUGACCUUUACUUUCAACUUUGUGAUACACUUUCAAAGAGUCGGAUUGUUUGGGAAUUGCAGUCCAAAAUGGGUGGUAAAUUUCAUCUAAAGCUAAAUAUUGGCGAGAGAACCGAUAGCGAACAAGUACCGUGAGGGAAAGAUGAAAAGAACUUUGAAAAGAGAGUUAAACAGUACGUGAAAUUGUCAAAAGGGAAGCGUUUGACACCAGUGUUGUUUUUCUGAAAAUCAAUUAAAGAACUGUUUAUGCUAAGCUGUUUAGACUUUAUCAGCUAAUCUGUUUAGUUUUGAGCUUUUCUUUAAUGCACUUUUCAGUUAACAAGUCAACAUCAAUUUCUUUUGCUGUAAAAAAAGCUUGAGGAAGGUGGCUUGAGAUUCGUCUUAAGUGUUUAUAGCCUCUUGCCUAUGCAGUCGGAGAGAUUGAGGUCUGCAGCGUAGAUCCUUCGGGGCUAAAUGCAUUUGUGCUAAGUUAUAGCAUUUCAUAGACAACUUGUUGACUAUGAUUUGUCUUGUAGCUUACUCGCUUAUGUUAUUUUACCUACGCUUAGGAUGUUGAGUCAUCACACAUCUCU